CCUACGGGAGGCAGCAGUGGGGAAUAUUGCACAAUGGGCGAAAGCCUGAUGCAGCGACGCCGCGUGAGGGAUGACGGCCUUCGGGUUGUAAACCUCUUUCAGUAGGGACGAAGCGCAAGUGACGGUACCUACAGAAGAAGCACCGGCUAACUACGUGCCAGCAGCCGCGGUAAUACGUAGGGUGCGAGCGUUGUCCGGAAUUAUUGGGCGUAAAGAGCUCGUAGGCGGUUUGUUGCGUCGGCUGUGAAAACCCUACAGCUUAACUGUGGGCCUGCAGUCGAUACGGGCAGACUUGAGUUCGGCAGGGGAGACUGGAAUUCCUGGUGUAGCGGUGAAAUGCGCAGAUAUCAGGAGGAACACCGGUGGCGAAGGCGGGUCUCUGGGCCGAUACUGACGCUGAGGAGCGAAAGCGUGGGGAGCGAACAGGAUUAGAUACCCUGGUAGUCCACGCCGUAAACGGUGGGUGCUAGGUGUGGGGGACUUCCACGUCCUCCGUGCCGCAGCUAACGCAUUAAGCACCUCGCCUGGGGAGGACGGCGCGAGACGAACUACAAGAGAGUAGCGNGAGAGAGCGACGACGACGACGACGGAGGAGG
This 596-nucleotide ribosomal RNA is filed under the name uncultured bacterium. Its description in RNAcentral is "bacterial SSU rRNA". The stretch from base 1 to 525 matches the Rfam family "Bacterial small subunit ribosomal RNA", at positions 338 to 873 of the family's 1533-position model. The record is from RNAcentral.